AAGGUACUCCCUCCGUCCGGAAUUACUUGUCAUCAAAAUGGAUGAAAAUGGAUGUAUUUAGAACUAAAAUACAUCUAUUUCAAUAACAAGUAUUUCCGGACGAAGGGAGUAUUUG
Triticum aestivum (bread wheat) is the source of this 115-nucleotide non-coding RNA. The record is from Rfam. Lineage: Eukaryota; Viridiplantae; Streptophyta; Magnoliopsida; Poales; Poaceae.